RNAcentral lists this long non-coding RNA (965 nucleotides) under Mytilus galloprovincialis (Mediterranean mussel). The record is from RNAcentral. Lineage: Eukaryota; Metazoa; Mollusca; Bivalvia; Mytilida; Mytilidae.
UGGAGAACUUCUGGUUGACUUUUGUGGAAUUAACAACUUAGUAAUUGGUGGAACCAUCUUCCCACACAAAGACAUUCACAAGCUAACUUGGAACUCGCCAAAUGGAAGAGACAAAAAUCAAAUAGACCACAUUAUGAUCAAUGGAAAAUGGAAAAGAUCCUUACAAGAUGUCAGAGUAAAGAGAGGAGCUGACAUUGCAAGUGAUCACUUUCUAAUAACAGCCAAUAUAAAGUUGAAACUUAAAAAGAUGUCUUCACCAACAACCAUUAAAAGAAAAUUUGAUAUAAAUAAAUUGCAAGACACCAAAGUAAAACAAGAAUUUAACCUGCAGAUAAAGAACAGAUUUCAGGUCCUAGAAGACACAAUAGAAGAAACAUCAGAACCAGCAUCGAUAAACAACAAAUGGCUAAAAGUAGAAGAAAUAUACAAAGAAACCAGUGAAAAAGUUCUUGGCUAUAAAAGACAAAUACAUAAAGAAUGGAUUACACAAGGAACAUGGAAAUUGAUUGAUGAAAGAAAAGAAAUAAACAACAAACUCUGUCAGACUUAUUCAGAAAGAAUAAAAGAUAAGCUGAGGAAGGAAUACUCAGAAUGCAAUAAGAAAGUGAAGAAAGCAACACGAAGUGACAAAAGAAAGUAUACAGAAGACCUUGCAAAAGAAGCAGAAAAUGCUGCAUCCAACCAGAGAAUGGGACAGGUUUACCAAGUUGUAAAACAGCUAUGCAACAAGAAAACUAAUAAGAGCAUGCCAAUUAAAGACAAACAAAACAACACAUUAUCAUCCGAAAAAGAACAAAAGGAAAGAUGGAAAGAACAUUUUCAAGAAGUUCUCAAUAGAAAAGAACCAGAGAAAAUACAGUUAGCAUCGAUAUCACAGAAACACCAUUAGAAUUAGAUAUAGAUCUUUAUGCGCCAACCAAACUAGAAAUCCAGAGAGCACUAAAAAGUUUAAGGAAUAGAAAGGC